GUAUGUAUGUAUGUAUGUGUGUGUGUGUGUGUGUGUGUGUGAGUGCGUGCGUGCGUGUGUGUGUGUCAUGAAGCACUUCACUCCGACUGAGGCACUGAAAUUGAUGGACCUUUGGGGUCGUCGAAUCGAUCCAUGGUGUUCAGCUGCAUGAUCAUGUGCA
Long non-coding RNA from Sander lucioperca (pikeperch), 160 nucleotides. RefSeq lists it as uncharacterized. The record is from RefSeq and is a predicted model, not a curated record. The transcript is spliced from 2 exons. NCBI's taxonomy places the organism in Eukaryota, Metazoa, Chordata, Actinopteri, Perciformes, Percidae.